ACAUGCAAGUCGUACGCACUGGCCCAACUGAUUGAUGGUGCUUGCACCGGAUUGACGUUGGAUCACCAGUGAGUGGCGGACGGGUGAGUAACACGUAGGUAACCUGCCCCGGAGCGGUGGAUAACAUUUGGAAACAGAUGCUAAUACCGCAUAACAACAAAAGCCACAUGGCUUUUGUUUGAAAGAUGGCUUUGGCUAUCACUCUGGGAUGGACCUGCGGUGCAUUAGCUAGUUGGUAAGGUAACGGCUUACCAAGGCGAUGAUGCAUAGCCGAGUUGAGAGACUGAUCGGCCACAAUGGAACUGAGACACGGUCCAUACUCCUACGGGAGGCAGCAGUAGGGAAUCUUCCACAAUGGGCGCAAGCCUGAUGGAGCAACACCGCGUGAGUGAAGAAGGGUUUCGGCUCGUAAAGCUCUGUUGUUGGAGAAGAACGUGCGUGAGAGUAACUGUUCACGCAGUGACGGUAUCCAACCAGAAAGUCACGGCUAACUACGUGCCAGCAGCCGCGGUAAUACGUAGGUGGCAAGCGUUAUCCGGAUUUAUUGGGCGUAAAGCGAGCGCAGGCGGUUGCUUAGGUCUGAUGUGAAAGCCUUCGGCUUAACCGAAGAAGUGCAUCGGAAACCGGGCGACUUGAGUGCAGAAGAGGACAGUGGAACUCCAUGUGUAGCGGUGGAAUGCGUAGAUAUAUGGAAGAACACCAGUGGCGAAGGCGGCUGUCUGGUCUGCAACUGACGCUGAGGCUCGAAAGCAUGGGUAGCGAACAGGAUUAGAUACCCUGGUAGUCCAUGCCGUAAACGAUGAGUGCUAGGUGUUGGAGGGUUUCCGCCCUUCAGUGCCGGAGCUAACGCAUUAAGCACUCCGCCUGGGGAGUACGACCGCAAGGUUGAAACUCAAAGGAAUUGACGGGGGCCCGCACAAGCGGUGGAGCAUGUGGUUUAAUUCGAAGCUACGCGAAGAACCUUACCAGGUCUUGACAUCUUGCGCUAACCUUAGAGAUAAGGCGUUCCCUUCGGGGACGCAAUGACAGGUGGUGCAUGGUCGUCGUCAGCUCGUGUCGUGAGAUGUUGGGUUAAGUCCCGCAACGAGCGCAACCCUUGUUACUAGUUGCCAGCAUUAAGUUGGGCACUCUAGUGAGACUGCCGGUGACAAACCGGAGGAAGGUGGGGACGACGUCAGAUCAUCAUGCCCCUUAUGACCUGGGCUACACACGUGCUACAAUGGACGGUACAACGAGUCGCAAGCUCGCGAGAGUAAGCUAAUCUCUUAAAGCCGUUCUCAGUUCGGACUGUAGGCUGCAACUCGCCUACACGAAGUCGGAAUCGCUAGUAAUCGCGGAUCAGCAUGCCGCGGUGAAUACGUUCCCGGGCCUUGUACACACCGCCCGUCACACCAUGGGAGUUUGUAACGCCCAAAGUCGGUGGCCUAACCUUUAUGGAGGGAGCCGCCUAAGGCGGGACAGAUGACUGGGGUGAAGU
RNAcentral lists this ribosomal RNA (1477 nucleotides) under uncultured bacterium. RNAcentral's name for it is "partial 16S ribosomal RNA". It matches the Rfam family "Bacterial small subunit ribosomal RNA". The record is from RNAcentral.